This 492-nucleotide ribosomal RNA is filed under the name uncultured bacterium. RNAcentral's name for it is "partial 16S ribosomal RNA". It matches the Rfam family "Bacterial small subunit ribosomal RNA", at positions 29 to 507 of the family's 1533-position model. The record is from RNAcentral.
AGUGAACGCUGGCGGUAGGCCUAACACAUGCAAGUCGAACGGCAGCACAGUAAGAGCUUGCUCUUACGGGUGGCGAGUGGCGGACGGGUGAGGAAUACAUCGGAAUCUACUUUUUCGUGGGGGAUAACGUAGGGAAACUUACGCUAAUACCGCAUACGACCUACGGGUGAAAGCAGGGGAUCUUCGGACCUUGCGCGAUUGAAUGAGCCGAUGUCGGAUUAGCUAGUUGGCGGGGUAAAGGCCCACCAAGGCGACGAUCGGUAGCUGGUCUGAGAGGAUGAUCAGCCACACGGGAACUGAGACAGGGUCCAGACGCCUAAGGGAGGGAGCAGUGGGGAAUAUUGGACAAUGGGCGCAAGCCUGAUCCAGCCAUACCGCGUGGGUGAAGAAGGCCUUCGGGUUGUAAAGCCCUUUUGUUGGGAAAGAAAAGCAGCAGGUUAAUACCCCGCUGUUCUGACGGUACCCAAAGAAUAAGCACCGGCUAACUUCGUG